AUGCUCAAUUAGAUGGCAUGCGCAGUAAAACUGAGACUGUACAGAGAAGAUUGGCAUGGCCAUCCAUGAUGAUGGUAUGCAAAUUUGUGACGUGCUCCAUAUUUCU
This is a small nuclear RNA of Microtus ochrogaster (prairie vole), 106 nucleotides long. The record is from Ensembl. NCBI's taxonomy places the organism in Eukaryota, Metazoa, Chordata, Mammalia, Rodentia, Cricetidae.